GUGGCUAUGAAAGAUUUCCCUAAUCAGAUUCAGGAGUCCCUCUGGAUCGGCCCUCAACCCCUCACUACAACUUUUCCAGUUACACAGAUCAGAAGUGGCCAAUGGGAGGUGUGUCUGGAGGAGCCCUCCUUCUCCAUCAGGGACCUGCCUCAAAGUGGGUACUUUUCCUGAUGGGUUCUUGGACCCUGGCUGGAAAUUAGUCCUGCUUCAUAAACUCGCUGGCCUGGGUUCUGGGGGUUGAUGGGGGGUGGGGAUCUCAUGCCUGUGGCCCAAAUGGGGACAUACAAAGGAAAAAGGUAGGGAGGCAGGAGGAGGAAGGCUGGGGAGGAGAUCAAGAAGGUCCUCAGAGGAAGGGUCAAAAAAACGAGGCGUUUCCUAAGCACAGAAAGGGAUUCACUUGCAACCCAGCCCCAGUGAGUGACAUAUAUCUACUACAACUAGCAUGCAGCACCAUACUUCCAAAAGUAUCAUUAUAAUAACUGGUAUUUAAGAGUAAGUAUUUAUGCAAAGAGUAAGAUAGCUAUUCUCUUAGGUAAACAAUGCCAGUGUUUCCGAAACCUAAUUAUUCAUCAGAAUGCUUAGAACUUUGUGCAGGUCCCACAGGUGGAGAUUCUGAUUCAGUAGAUUGGAGUCAAGGCCUUGGAAUCUGUAUUUCUCACAAAUUCCCAGGUAAUUAAAAUACAGUCUUAAAUCAUUUGGAAACUAUUGUUAAAACCCUGUCCAUAUACUUCUAGUCCACAGAACGCAAACACUGGCCUACAUCAGUUUUACUCCUAAGGUCCAGGAAGUGGCCACAUAAAGAAUCCAUCCUCAUAUUUUAUAAAUUGACUAAGAAAGACACUAAACUCAAGGAAAAUUAAUAGGUAAUCAUUAAAUAUGGUUCAUCUAUACAAUGAACUGUUAUGCAGCCAUUUUUAAUGUUCAUGAUAAAGAGGUUUUAAUGGCAUGGGAAAAUACCUAUUAUAUAAUAUCAAGGGAAAAAAGCAUAAUGCUUAAUAUUAUGUUGUGCGUGUGUGUGUGUGUGUGUGUAUAACGUGCUCUCAACCAUGUAAAAUAACUGCACAUAUAAGUGACAAAAGUAAGAUUUAAUGUGUGUGUUCCACACCUCCCCUUCUCCACCCACUCAUGGAAGAGAAGCUGGGAAAAGGAGGAGGAAGAUUUAAGCAAAGAAACCAAAUCUGUCAACAUAAUAAAGAGCUGGGGGAGAGAAAGAGAAGUCAAGAGAAAAGACUUCAGUUACGAAAGAGAGAAAGUAUCUUUUGAGAAGGGCAGCUGUCAUUUAUCAUGAUGGUCCCGUCAGGACCUCUUCGGGGAAUUCUGGAAUGUCAGUGAUUCUCUUUUCCUUACUAGAUACAAGAGAGAAACCAUAUGGACUAGGGCCAAGGUUUCUCAACCUCUGCACUAAGGACAUUUUAGGCUGAAUAAUUGUUGUUGGGAACUGUCCUGUAUAUUCCUGGCCUCUGCCUACUACACACCUGUAUCAUCCUGCCCCUUCUCCCCAGUCGUAUCAACCAAAACUGUCUCCUGGCUUUGCCACACUUACCCCCUGUUGAGAACCACUAUCCUGGAAGUAUCUGAGUUCCAACCUGGGCAGCAUAGGUAGCACACCCUUCUGAGAACAGAGACAACACUGGGCAAGCAGAACUGAGAAAUGGAGGCAGGAAUAAUAAUAGGUCACAUUGUUUCUGCCCAGAAAAAUCCUCCCCUGAGACUAGACUUAAUCCCAGCCUCUAUAGGAGCUUAUAAAUCCUCCUCAUUUGUUUUUGGUUAAGAUAAUGUAGGUUGAAUUUUUCGUGGUUUGUAUCAGAAAUCGCCCACUCGAAUGCCCUUAAAGUUUUUCAAGAGCGUCAAGGUUAAUGGAGAAAUAGGAUAAAAGAAUUGAAAUCCCUAAAAACAUCUUUAGCUGAUUGGAAGGAUGAAUCAUCCAUCCAGAGUUCCAGAUAUUAAAAUGGUCACCUGCUAGAAAUUGAAAUCCCAAGCUGGCACCAUUUACAGGAGUGGGGUCCAAGUUCACAACCUCCUACAGGAGGCAGAAAGCAUACACUGAGAAUCCAAUCUAUACACUAGCCUAGAACACAUGAAAUUUGAAGGGCAAGCAUGGGACCAUUUGCUUGGGAAACUUCUGAAACCCAAGGUCAUAGGUCACACCAAGAAAAUCCAUUUCCAGGAGUUCCCGCUGUGGCUCAGUGGUUAACAAAUCUGACUAGGAACCAUGAGGUUGCGGGUCCAAUCCCUGGCCUCGCUCAGUGGGUUAAGGAUCUGGUGUUGCCGUGAGCUGUGGUGUAGGUUGCAGACACAGCUCAGAUCUGGCGUUGCUGUGGCUGUGGCAUAGGCUGGUGGCUAUAGCUCCAAUUGGACCCCCAGCCUGGGAGCCUUCAUAUGCCACAAAUGAGGCCCUAGAAAAUACAAAACAAAAAAAAGAAAAUCUGUUUCCAUUUAAGAUGUGCACUCAGGAAAAAAAUUAUUCCACAUAUUCUAUGUCGAUAGAUAUAGGGAUCCUAAGUAAGUUGUGAGUUAGGCUUCCAAGGAGAAUUUUUCAAAGGAAGUUGUCAAGAACUAGUUAGAGGACUCUUAAACCCCUCACUCAAAUCAAGAAGGGUACUUGGAUAUUAGGGAACAAUUUUUUUGGAAAGAAUUGACCCAUGUCACACAACAGAAAGUGAGAGAUAGAGGAAGGUAAGGGCAGACAGCAUGGACUAGUGUCUGACUCCUACCUGAGAAAUCUAAUGUGCAAAAAGCAGUCUGAUAGAUGCUCUGUGGACAGACGCUCUGGGAUCAUCCUGCCCUCCAGAAUGUGAUGGGGCAGAAGAUGCAUGUGUGUUUCCCAUGUCCUGGAUGUAGGCCACAUGGAAGAGAGAGUUGACAUAAGGUUCAUCGACAGGUAGAACCAGACAUACAUAUUUGAGAUUAUGCCUUCAAUGUAAAAUAAAGGCACAUAUAAAACCUUUUAUUUUCUAAAAGAGAAAGAUCGGCAUGGGGCCUGUAUAAGUUCAUACCCAAAGGUAGUGGAAAGACUAGUCCAAAUGAGGAAUUUUAAAGGGUGGCAGAAAUAAAAGUAAAAUUGCUUUUUGAUUACGUACUGUCCAAAGUAGCAGGUAUCUUUACAAAUCAUAUAAGGAAACUAAUCCCCACAAGUGAGAGAGAUAGCAAAGGCAACAAAUCACAGAAUGUACACCCUUAAGAAAUUUAGAUAGUGGAUCAAUCUUUUUUUUUAAAUUCUUAAAAUAACAAGGUUUUAAUUUUUGGAGUUCCCAUUGUGGCACAGCAGAAACAAAUCCGACUAGGAACCAUGAGGUUGCAGGUUCGAUCCCUGGCCUCAUUCAGUGGGUUAAGGAUCUGGUAUUGCCACGAGCUGUGGUGUAGGUCAAAGCAGCUGUUCAGAUCCUGCAUUGCUGUGGCUGUGGAAUAGGCUGGCAUCUGUAGCUACAAUUGGACCCCUAGCCUGGAACCUCCAAAUGCCUUGGGUGCGGCCCUAAAAAGCAAAAUAAAUAAAUACGUAAAUAAAUAACAAGGUUAUCAGAGAACAAUAUAAAGGAAUAAAAUUCAUUAGAUAAGACUGGACAUUAUUUUAAAAGAACAGGGACAUUUGAAAAAAACUAACCAAAAAGAAGUUUGAAAAUAAAAAAUAGCCCAUGAAAUAAAAAUAAAUCAGAGAAUAGGUUAGACAGACUAGACACUGGGAAAAAGAAAUUUAGUGAACUAGAAGAUAAAUCUUAGGAAAUUAUCCAGAGCCUCUUUGCACUUAUCAAAGAUGCUGGCAUCCAUCCCAUCAACAGAGGAGGGUUUUCUUAAGAUCUACUCUGCCGCUUGUUUCCCCUCAGACCCACCAGUUCAUAUCAACCAGGUCCCGUAAUUGGAGCAGGGGGCUGUUUCCUCCCUUGGGCUGCUCUCUGAUCUGAUUGUAAUUCUUGGUUAGAAGGAAUGAGUGGUAAGACCUUAAGGAAAACAAGCCUCAUCUUGUGAGGCUUUGCAGACUGGUAAGUAAGAGAAGGCUCCAUUUCCUUAGCAAAGAAGAAAUUCUACUUCUGCCAGCCUAGAGUUACAGCAGAAUCUGGGGGCGCAAGAUUCUGAGGCCUGUCUAUCCAAAUGCCCUAAUGCCAGAACUCAGUCUUCUCUCAGGGCGCUGCCGUUGGCAUAGGGGACUUGGUGAGAUUGUGCUUUCAGUCUCUUUUGUAACAUUUCUAUCCUUACAAUUGCUUCCUGAGCCUGGGUUUCAGCACUGUCUGCCCUGCAGCUGCAGGAGAGGAAU
This 4249-nucleotide long non-coding RNA is filed under the name Sus scrofa (pig). RNAcentral describes it as "lncRNA (ENSSSCG00015027269.1)". The record is from RNAcentral. Lineage: Eukaryota; Metazoa; Chordata; Mammalia; Artiodactyla; Suidae.